This 460-nucleotide ribosomal RNA is filed under the name uncultured bacterium. RNAcentral's name for it is "partial 16S ribosomal RNA". It matches the Rfam family "Bacterial small subunit ribosomal RNA", at positions 338 to 795 of the family's 1533-position model. The record is from RNAcentral.
CCUACGGGUGGCAGCAGUGAGGAAUAUUGGUCAAUGGGCUUACGCCUGAACCAGCCAAGUCGCGUGAGGGAAGACUGCCCUAUGGGUUGUAAACCUCUUUUGCCAGGGAGCAAUGGGCGCUACGUGUAGCGCUAUCGAGAGUACCUGAAGAAAAAGCAUCGGCUAACUCCGUGCCAGCAGCCGCGGUAAUACGGAGGAUGCGAGCGUUAUCCGGAUUUAUUGGGUUAAAAGGGUGCGUAGGCGGAUGGCCAAGUCAGCGGUAAAAUCGCGGGGCUCAACCUCGCUCCGCCUUUGAAACUGGCGAUCUUGAGUGGGCGAGAAGUAAGCGGAAUGCGUGGUGUAGCGGUGAAAUGCAUAGAUAUCACGCAGAACUCCGAUUGCGAAGGCAGCAUGCCGGCGCCCAACUGACGCUGAAGCACGAAAGCGUGGGUAUCGAACAGGAUUAGAUACCCGGGUAGUC